GCUCCAGUGGCGCAGUCGGUUAGCGCAUGGUACUUAUAAUGCCGAGGUCGUGGGUUCGAUCCCCACUUGGAGCA
This is a non-coding RNA of Sitodiplosis mosellana (orange wheat blossom midge), 74 nucleotides long. Lineage: Eukaryota; Metazoa; Arthropoda; Insecta; Diptera; Cecidomyiidae. The record is from the annotation of a RefSeq genome assembly.